GUAGGUGGCAAGCGUUGUCCGGAAUUAUUGGGCGUAAAGCGCGCGCAGGCGGCCUUUAAGUCUGAUGUGAAAGCCCACGGGCUCAACCGUGAGGGUCAUUGGAAACUGGGGGACUUGAGUACAGAAGAGGAAAGCGGAAUUCCAAGUGUAGCGGUGAAAUGCGUAGAGAUUUGGAGGAACACCAGUGGCGAAGGCGGCUUUCUGGUCUGUAACUGACGCUGAGGCGCGAAAGCGUGGGGAGCAAACAGGAUUAGAUACCCUGGUAGUCCACGCCGUAAACGAUGAGUGCUAAGUGUUAGGGGGUUUCCGCCCCUUAGUGCUGCAGCUAACGCAUUAAGCACUCCGCCUGGGGAGUACGGCCGCAAAGGCUG
RNAcentral lists this ribosomal RNA (371 nucleotides) under uncultured organism. RNAcentral describes it as "partial 16S ribosomal RNA". It matches the Rfam family "Bacterial small subunit ribosomal RNA", at positions 527 to 896 of the family's 1533-position model. The record is from RNAcentral.